Long non-coding RNA from Juglans microcarpa x Juglans regia, 440 nucleotides. RefSeq lists it as uncharacterized. Lineage: Eukaryota; Viridiplantae; Streptophyta; Magnoliopsida; Fagales; Juglandaceae. The record is from RefSeq and is a predicted model, not a curated record. The transcript has 3 exons.
ACGCUCUGCCAGCUUCUUGUAGACUGAACUCUCUUCUCUUUAGGCUCCGAGUGGUUUUUGGGUGGGAUGGUAGAAUUUGUCUUCGCCACUAGUGGCAACGAAGUUCUUGGUCAUUUUCAAGGGGAAGGAAGGUCUCCACUCAUUUCAUUCAUUCAGUGCCUGCGGUGAGGCGCAACCCACAACAAACAAAGGGGGAAAGCUUGCUUGCUAUAGCCCUAUUUUAGUAUACUAGGCUUGGUAAGCGUAAGCUAUUUUAGUAGGCUUGAGAAGGGUAGGCUCGCAGCUUCGCCAGAAGCGACUAGUCGCCUCCUUUCCUCCGCCGAAAGAUGCUUAGCCAGAAGUGACGAAGGGGGGCUGGGGAAGGCCGACGACUAGAUGAGGGGAAGCUGCCGUAGAAGCUUUGCCCUUGCUAAAUUUCGUGCUUUACAGAGAUGUUAUGA